Non-coding RNA from Russula compacta, 86 nucleotides. Lineage: Eukaryota; Fungi; Basidiomycota; Agaricomycetes; Russulales; Russulaceae. The record is from the annotation of a GenBank genome assembly.
GGUCUUGUAGUGUAGUGGUUAUCACUCGGGAUUUUGACCAUGAUGUUGAAUUUCCCGAAACCCAGGUUCGAACCCUGGCAAGACCU